CUGUGCUUAAUGAUGGGAAAAAGUAGCCUUUGUCUUCUUUUGAAGAGAGCCGCGCUUGGUGGGAAGCGGUGGAGAAGCGAUGGCGAAUCCGUCCCUGAGAGCUGGAUCCGCACGAAGCGGAUCACACGGAUCAUUUCGUUAUCAAUGACUAAAGCGGUCAGCAGCAGCGCAAGGCAAGCUGCUGGCAAUUUGGGUGGCAACGCGGGUUUAUAAUCUCGUCCCUUAU
Molecule: non-coding RNA, 226 nt
Filed under: Sporolactobacillus inulinus
Lineage: Bacteria; Bacillati; Bacillota; Bacilli; Caryophanales; Sporolactobacillaceae
Description: T-box sequence
Rfam family: T-box leader
About the family: Uncharged tRNA acts as the effector for transcription antitermination of genes in the T-box leader family. T-boxes are found upstream of many aminoacyl-tRNA synthetase genes and some amino acid biosynthetic genes usually in Gram-positive bacteria. The anticodon of a specific tRNA base pairs to a specifier sequence within the T-box motif, and the NCCA acceptor tail of the tRNA base pairs to a conserved bulge in the T-box antiterminator hairpin.
Source: RNAcentral